RNAcentral lists this long non-coding RNA (260 nucleotides) under Ananas comosus (pineapple). RNAcentral's name for it is "long non-coding RNA (ACOM_LNC000573)". The record is from RNAcentral. Lineage: Eukaryota; Viridiplantae; Streptophyta; Magnoliopsida; Poales; Bromeliaceae.
AUAAAAUUAAUCCAAUGGUUAGAAAUAAUCAAUACAGUUGAUCUAAGGGCUAAAAAAUCGGAAGCAUCAAGUUAUUGGUGCUACCAAGUUUUUGGCCAUUGGAUUAAGAGAUGUGCAGUUAGGAUAAUGUGGGCCCCCUAGAAUUGAGUGGGUGGUUUGGUUGAAUAGUAUGAUCUAAUGGGUAAAAAUGAUCAAAAUGGUAGAUCUAACGGCGAAAAACUUGGUACCAAGUGCUUCGUACUAUUAAUAGCAUAGUAGCU